GCCUGAUCCGGGCCCGUUGGCGGCGUCACGGGUGCUUCGCUCUGGUCCUCGUAUCCCGGGCGCGGGGAGGCAGGCCGACCGUGAGCUGCUUGUCCCCAUCCUGUGGCCGUCCUGGGGACACAGAGCUCUCCGUGGUGCCUGGGGCUUGGAUUGGAGCCAGGACCUCACUUCCUCCUCUGCCCCUGCCCCUGCCCCUCCCAGCACCUGGCCCACACCCUGCAGCCUGCCCCAUGGUCUGGCCCUGGGUGGCGAUGGCGUCCAGGUGGGGUCCCCUCGUUGGCCUGGCUCCGUGCUGCCUCUGGCUCCUGGGGGCGGUCCUUCUGAUGGACGCGUCUGCACGGCCUGCCAACCACUCGUCCACUCGAGAGAGAGCAGCCCACAGGGAGGAGAGUGAGAUCCUGCCCCCAGACCACCUGAACGGGGUGAAGCUGGAGAUGGACGGGCACCUCAAUCGGGGCUUCCACCAGGAGGUCUUCCUAGGCAAGGACCUGGGUGGCUUUGAUGAGGACGCGGAGCCACGGCGGAGCCGGAGGAAGCUGAUGGUCAUCUUUUCCAACAGGGCCUGGUGCUUCAGGGCC
RNAcentral lists this small RNA (578 nucleotides) under Pongo abelii (Sumatran orangutan). Its description in RNAcentral is "processed transcript". Lineage: Eukaryota; Metazoa; Chordata; Mammalia; Primates; Hominidae. The record is from RNAcentral.